GAUCAUGGCUCAGGAUAAACGCUGGCGGCGCACAUAAGACAUGCAAGUCGAACGAACUUAACCAUUAGUUUACUAUUGGAGCGGUUAGUGGCGGACUGGUGAGUAACACGUAAGCAACCUGCCUAUCAGAGGGGAACAACAGUUAGAAAUGACUGCUAAUACCGCAUAUGCCUAAGUACCACAUGGUACAAUAGGGAAAGGAGCAAUCCGCUGAUAGAUGGGCUUGCGU
RNAcentral lists this ribosomal RNA (229 nucleotides) under uncultured bacterium. RNAcentral's name for it is "partial 16S ribosomal RNA". It matches the Rfam family "Bacterial small subunit ribosomal RNA", at positions 15 to 236 of the family's 1533-position model. The record is from RNAcentral.